Molecule: ribosomal RNA, 980 nt
Filed under: Stanjemonium fuscescens
Lineage: Eukaryota; Fungi; Ascomycota; Sordariomycetes; Hypocreales; Bionectriaceae
Also listed under: 2 other names
Description: SSU rRNA
Rfam family: Eukaryotic small subunit ribosomal RNA
Source: RNAcentral
AUGCAUGUCUAAGUAUAAGCAAUUAUACGGCGAAACUGCGAAUGGCUCAUUAUAUAAGUUAUCGUUUAUUUGAUAGUACCUUACUACUUGGAUAACCGUGGUAAUUCUAGAGCUAAUACAUGCUAAAAACCCCGACUUCGGAAGGGGUGUAUUUAUUAGAUUAAAAACCAAUGCCCUUCGGGGCUCCUUGGUGAUUCAUGAUAACUUCUCGAAUCGCAUGGCCUUGCGCCGGCGAUGGUUCAUUCAAAUUUCUUCCCUAUCAACUUUCGAUGUUUGGGUAUUGGCCAAACAUGGUUGCAACGGGUAACGGAGGGUUAGGGCUCGACCCCGGAGAAGGAGCCUGAGAAACGGCUACUACAUCCAAGGAAGGCAGCAGGCGCGCAAAUUACCCAAUCCCGACUCGGGGAGGUAGUGACAAUAAAUACUGAUACAGGGCUCUUUAGGGUCUUGUAAUUGGAAUGAGUACAAUUUAAAUCCCUUAACGAGGAACAAUUGGAGGGCAAGUCUGGUGCCAGCAGCCGCGGUAAUUCCAGCUCCAAUAGCGUAUAUUAAAGUUGUUGUGGUUAAAAAGCUCGUAGUUGAACCUUGGCCCCGGCCGGCUGGUCCGCCUCACCGCGUGCACUGGCUCGGCCGGGGCUUUCCCUCUGUGGAACCCCAUGCCCUUCACUGGGCGUGGCGGGGAAACAGGACUUUUACUUUGAAAAAAUUAGAGUGCUUCAGGCAGGCCUAUGCUCGAAUACAUUAGCAUGGAAUAAUAAAAUAGGACGUGCGGUUCUAUUUUGUUGGUUUCUAGGACCGCCGUAAUGAUUAAUAGGGACAGUCGGGGGCAUCAGUAUUCAAUUGUCAGAGGUGAAAUUCUUGGAUUUAUUGAAGACUAACUACUGCGAAAGCAUUUGCCAAGGAUGUUUUCAUUAAUCAGGAACGAAAGUUAGGGGAUCGAAGACGAUCAGAUACCGUCGUAGUCUUAACCAUAAACUAUG